GUGUAUGUUAAGCUUCAUGCACUAGCCAACGCAACCAAAAGUCCAAACUGAUGAAAAGGGCUAGGCAAUCCACAUAUACACUUGAACACCCUCUCUCACGUGCGACGCAGAAAGUCAACACGUGGAUAGACUCGAAGGUAUGACUCAAGAGGCCUAUACGUGGACACAAAGGGGGGAAUAGCAAUAUUUAGAUAAAUUGCGAAAGCCAGGACUUGAACUCAAGACCUAAGAAGCACGGACACGGGGACGGAAAGACGGGGAUACGCAUACGGGGAUACGGGAUACGGCAUUUUCCAAAAACAUCCAUUUGGGGAUACGGCGAGUAUAUAUAUAAUAAAAUAAAAAUAUGGCAUGUAAUAUAGAAUUAAGACAGAAAGUUAAUAAGAAAGAAAUAUUUUUUGCCAAGUCCUUGAUUGAUCCUCAUCCCCCGAUGUCAUGUUGUCAUUGCAUGCUGCAUCCAUCUUGCAAAACAUAUCAAACACAAACAGUAAAGAAGAUUAGAGGACAAGACAUACUUGAAAGAUUAAAGGACAAGACAUACUUGAAGCAACAUGGAGCAGCAGCGCAAGCAUUCAACCCAGCAGCACAAGAUAGCAAGCAACAUCCAGGAUCCAGUAGCUUAAUGGAAGAAAUAUGACGAAUAAAAGAGGAAGAGGUUGAGGAAUAGGUGGGGCUGUUGGGUUACCUGCGAGGCUACGCCUGGGAGUAAAGGCUGCUGGUGCUGGGGCUAGCGGUCGCCGAAUCCAGGCGUCGCCGGCGGCGGCGGCUCGUUCAGUACGACCUGGGAGGGAGGGAGCACCUAGGUCGGGCCGAGGCUGAUGAGAGCGUGCGGGAGACAUAUAGGGUUUGGUAUUGGGUUGGGCCGAGGCUGGUUUUGG
RNAcentral lists this long non-coding RNA (878 nucleotides) under Triticum aestivum (bread wheat). RNAcentral describes it as "long non-coding RNA (TAES_LNC016148)". The record is from RNAcentral. Lineage: Eukaryota; Viridiplantae; Streptophyta; Magnoliopsida; Poales; Poaceae.